Long non-coding RNA from Triticum aestivum (bread wheat), 906 nucleotides. RefSeq lists it as uncharacterized. Lineage: Eukaryota; Viridiplantae; Streptophyta; Magnoliopsida; Poales; Poaceae. The transcript is spliced from 4 exons. The record is from RefSeq and is a predicted model, not a curated record.
UAAGCCGCCGCCGGUGAACUCGACCGGAACCACCCUUCACGCCCCUGCUUCUCUGUGGCUGGCCUCCGUGGAUCCGACCAGUCUACCGCCCACCACGGCGUCCGCUCGCUUUCUGCGACCUCAUCCCCAGUUCAGCACAAGCUCACACCCCUCGCAUCCCACUCCCCCUCCAGCAAUGGCCGCACCCGCCGGCCGGGGUGUAUUUAGCCUGCGGUCACCAGUUCGUCUGCGGGCUUAAUCUGGGGCAAUAGUUGCAUUUUAAGACGACAGCAGAUAGAAGACACUGAACACAAGUAUUGCCUGUGACAUGGCACUGUAAUAACCGCCUGGAGUAUGAAUGCCGGGAGCUGGCACACACUCAAAUGGGGGCUGGACCGACGACCGGAGCUGUUGAUCUCCGUCUGGCUAGUAGCUGAUGCUGACUUGGCAUUCCGGUCAAUGGCUAGUAGCUGAAGAUUUUUCAAGUGCGGGCACGUAGCAGCGGGUUUCCUAUUAGUGCAUCGAACUCGCUCUGUCUUUCUUGUCUCCUUACUAUCACGCCCCGAAUGGAGCGUCGUUGGGAGAAGCGUCGAGGUGUCGAGCUCGUGGCAUGGCCAAAUUUGCAGAAGCAGAACAAGGCAGGCUGAAUCGAACGGUCGAAGUUGAACCAGCGCAACUGCAGGACAAUAUUCAGGCUGAAGCUACUACUGUCGAAACUGAACCAGCGCAAGUGCAGAGCAACAUUCAGACUGAAGCUACUACUACUGAUGAUCUGGCUGGUGGGACCCGCAGGUCAGCUCGACCCCUAGGCCCGUCCACGUAGUGGGUUCUAUGUUAGCAGUGGGUGCGUUUGUAAGCGUGUUGGUUGAGUGUAGUAUUCAUAGCCGCUAUUGGGGAUGAUUUUGGCAUCCUUCCAUCCAUCUUCUC